This is a long non-coding RNA of Dermacentor albipictus, 2716 nucleotides long. RefSeq lists it as uncharacterized. The record is from RefSeq and is a predicted model, not a curated record. Lineage: Eukaryota; Metazoa; Arthropoda; Arachnida; Ixodida; Ixodidae.
GUAAGAAGCGGCUGCCGGGAGUCCCGCUCGUCAUUCUGCGUUUCACGCCGCCACCGCCCGCGUCAGCCGAACCUCUGCGUCGUACCACGUAUGCUUCGGCACCGACUGUCUACGUUAGGCGCGGUGCCUACCACUUUACCGACUCCGAAACAGCCAUGGGUUCCGCCACUCACUUCUGCUGCAAGGCGUACUGCGAAGCUUUAAGUCGCGGCCACUUCACUCAAGACCUGCUGGACUUCUUUCUGCAAAUGCGGUUACGGGACUGCCUCUCUUGCUCCGGGAUUCUCGCACGGCCCGUUGGAGCUCCCGAAAUACGUAUGCGACGCACGGCAGCCAUUCCAUCUGUUCUCCCGCACGAGCUGUCGCGCCUUAGCCGUCGCUGCCGAUUAGUUUCAAGUCGCGUCUUCCGCGGUCUCUUCUUUUGUGCGCGUGUUCCCGCGGACGAACUGGAAGGGACAACGAAGCAGCUGUCGUCGUCAACUAACGUCCGAGGUGAAUCUCGUGCAACCAAGUGACCGUGACUCUACCUUGGGGGACAACGGAACAACCGUCGUCGCUGCGUGGCUUCGGCAUCUAACCCACGAGGUGGGAAAGUGUGUGUGCGUGCGUAUAGUGUGCGAGGGCUGUGCGGCUAUUAACUUUAUCAAAAAAACUGAUUGACAAUAUUGGCAAAAUAGGUGCAGUUAACUGUGGUGCUUCGUUAAGCACGAGUUUCCUAGGACGGCCGCAGCCACAUCGGGUCGUCGCCGUGACGGAAGCGGAGAGGACGGGGUGGGGCGAUUGUAGCUUCAGGCUCGGCUAACACUAGGAAGGUAGCUGGCCCUGCGCGUAGGCAACAGCUGGCAGGAAUCCUCUCUCUCGCUUGCGACACGGAUGUCGGCCCGUUCCGGUUGCCAUUGCUUCCCGGCCACCAUUUCGCGACCACGCGCGCGAAAGGGCGCGAAAUGUUGAACCGCGGAAGCAGAUGGCAUCCGGAAAUUGAGUGUGUGGGAUAACCAGUGGCGUAUUCCAGAUCAUCACUGAAGAAUGGACGUUGCCUUCGGUCCGCAGCGCGGCGCGUUGCGGCCAAAGUAUGUGGAUGAUUUUUGUUCUCUAUUCUUUGUGCUGCGCUGUGGUUUUGUCGCUCGACGCGCCGACCAUGUUUGACGAGUUCAUCGAUCACGCCUCGCGCGACGACGCCUGUCACGGUGAGUACCUACUUUCUGUUUCUAUUCAUUAUUCGAGAAGUUCCCCCUUUUCAAUUUCAGAUACGUAACCUAGGCCUUUGCGUAUGGCACACUCCAACAGCGUCCAGAGCACACGUCAGUGUCCCAGACGGACGACGUUCAGCGCUUGUCGUGCAUCAGCUGACUGUCUGUGCACUUACGCUCCAGCCUCACGGCUACUAGUUUCCUGGCGAAUGAAGGUGCCUGCCCUGCAGUACGUCGACUGCCCACUCGGCCAUCAGUCACGUCCGACGGAGUGUCCUGCGCCCUGCGGUCUCCCAGAUGGAUGACGUUCAGCGCCUCUUCGAGCGCGGCUGACCGUCCGUGCACUUCUGCUCCAGCCUCGCAGCUCCUGGUUUCCUGGCCAGUGAAGAUGCCUGAACAACCUGCCCCGCAGAACGUCGACUGAUCCUUUGGCCAUGAGUCAUGUGCGGUGGAGUUUCCUGCGCCCUGCCGUCUCCCAGAUGGAUGAGGUUCAGCGCCUCUUCGACCGCGGCUGACCGUCCGUGCACUUCUGCUCCAGCCUCGCAGCUACUGGUUUCCUGGCGGAUUAAGAUGCCUGUACUACCUGCCCUGCACCAGCAACCCUUGCCUUGACAUCCACCGCCCGUCAAGAUCUGCCCAGCCGGCGUAUAUAGGCCUAGUGCUGACCGUAAUGAGAUGGGCCUUGCUCUCGUGACAUUUCAUGACAUUGCUACGACCGUUGACGUUGAGCUGCGGGAAAAGUCCCUUUCUGCGUGCUGCCUUGACGAUGCUGCAAGGCUGUGGAGACGUGACGGCGACCGACGACGACGACAGCCCUGUAACAGUUCCUUCCACACGGUUGCUGUGUCAUAGUAGUUCGAUAUACACUCGUAUUGAGUCCAUGGCUGUUUCACGAGUGCACCAAAACGAUUUCAAGUAACUAUGCUGGCUCAUAUUCAAUACACUACUCAGGGUCUAGCGUUAGUUUGAUCUGGGGUUUCAUGCACGUUAAUUCACAUUCUGUGCUCUCGUUAUGGUACGCUGAUGCUGGUUCGCAUUGCGAAGUUGCGCGCGUAUGUGUUCGUGUGAGCAUGCUUGUGUGUGCGUUGCUGCAUGUAUGCUGUCUAUUUGUUAUACGCGCGUGCGACAUAGCUCAUUCCAUCUGGUUGGUGGCUUGAUUUCCGCUGGGGGUCCGUUUUCUCUUCCAUUGAAUCUUUGCUGGCUGGCCUCGUUUAUCAGGUGAUUUCCUUCGGAAAGCUCGUUGGCGGUUCUGCAGUGAUGGUCGCAAAUCUUUUCAGCAAAACAUUAGGACUGGGCAUUCCCCUUACCUAAAGGGUGUCCGGCCAUCCACUCGCAUAUUUGUCUGGACCUUCCAUUAUCAAAUUGUUUUGUACUCGAUGGGGUCUCUGUUGGUAUCUUUUGCUUAUCCACAUUGUCCUUGUUUGUCCAGUGAUUCAUCAUGGCUAAUGCGAAACAUCAGCGUACCAUUACAAAAAGCAUAUUGUGUGAAUUAAAGGCAAUAAAACAUCCUCGUUAAUUUGUGAAAA